AUGAACGCUGGCGGCGUGCCUAAUACCUGCAAGUCGAGCGCAUGGACGAGAAGCUUGCUUUUCUGAUGUUAGCGGCGGACGGGUGAGUAACACGUGGAUAACCUACCUAUAAGACUGGGAUAACUUCGGGAAACCGGAGCUAAUACCGGAUAAUAUUUUGAACCGCAUGGUUCAAAAGUGAAAGACGGUCUUGCUGUCACUUAUAGGUGGAUCCGCGCUGCAUUAGCUAGUUGGUAAGGUAACGGCUUACCAAGGCAACGAUGCAUAGCCGACCUGAGAGGGUGAUCGGCCACACUGGAACUGAGACACGGUCCAGACUCCUACGGGAGGCAGCAGUAGGGAAUCUUCCGCAAUGGGCGAAAGCCUGACGGAGCAACGCCGCGUGAGUGAUGAAGGUCUUCGGAUCGUAAAACUCUGUUAUUAGGGAAGAACAUAUGUGUAAGUAACUGUGCACAUCUUGACGGUACCUAAUCAGAAAGCCACGGCUAACUACGUG
RNAcentral lists this ribosomal RNA (496 nucleotides) under uncultured bacterium. Its description in RNAcentral is "partial 16S ribosomal RNA". It matches the Rfam family "Bacterial small subunit ribosomal RNA", at positions 29 to 507 of the family's 1533-position model. The record is from RNAcentral.